This is a long non-coding RNA of Nilaparvata lugens (brown planthopper), 4436 nucleotides long. RefSeq lists it as uncharacterized. The record is from RefSeq and is a predicted model, not a curated record. Lineage: Eukaryota; Metazoa; Arthropoda; Insecta; Hemiptera; Delphacidae. The transcript has 3 exons.
UACGAGACAUGUUUUUAUUAUUAUUUGUAGGUUAUGUUGUAAUUUUAGCAGAAAAUAAUGGUUGUGUUUACUUAUAAUCAAUAAUUAUUAGUUUGCAAGUUAUAUGAAUAUGUUAGCUACAAAAGCCAUAGUUUUAAAAUAAAAUUAUUUUUCAAAAUCGAUUUGAGCUAGAUUUGAGCUAGCUGUAUGAUAACAUAAAAUAAUGAUGAAGAUUGAUGUUAUUCUUCACUGUACCAGGUUCCAGAAAACAUGCAGUCUGUAAUCUACCCCCAUGUCAGUGUAGAGAGGCCUGUUCAUGAAGACACAAAAUCCUUCGACGACACCAAAACAUAUUACACAGUGUAGAUGGGCGGAUAGAAAGCGUGAACAUCAAAAGCCAUCGUGUGUGUUACCCAGUUUCCAUUCUGCAUCUAAAAUAGGAACCAAGCAUCCAACAUCAUAACUUUAUUAUUAUAUAGUCCAGACAAUGAAUGCUCAAAAGAGGGUAUAGAGAGAAAAGUUUGGAAGACUAUAUUUGACCCCGCAAUUUUGUUUUGGGUAUUAAGGAGGUAAAAAUAUCCCCACCCCUACCCCUUGUGAUGGUGGGGGUGGGGUGGUUCAAAGGUACCAGUUUUUGGUUUCUCGCAUAUAACUCGAAAACUAUGUAUCUUACGGACAUAACUGUUACAUACAAAAGUGAACUUACUUACUUACUCCAUGGCACUACAGCCCAUCCAGGGCCUUGGCCUCUUCAAGAAUGCCUCACCACUCCUCUCUGUCGGCAGUCUUGCGUCUCCAUCCCCUAACGCCUAUUUUCCGGAGAUCAUCUUCCACAUCCUCCAGCCAGCGCUUGCGUGGACGUCCUUUCAACUUUCUUCCGCCUGGUUUUUCUCUGAAAACUUUUUUCACGGCUCUUUCAUCGCUCAUACUUUCUACAUGACCCAACCAGCUCAAGCGUCUCACUUUGAUCUCAUGUACAAUAGGUGGUUUUCUGUACAGGUCACGCAGCUCUUGAUUCGAACGAAGUCUCCAUUCUCCAUCAAUACAUACUGGACCAUAUAUUCUUCUCAGAAUCUUCCGUUCCCAUAUACUCAGUAGGUCUUCAUCCUUCUUUUUCAAAACCAAGGUUUCUGCCCCGUAUAACACAACUGGCUUUAUAACAGUUUCAUAGAUUUGUUGUUUAAUUUUCCUUGACAGUGUUUUGGAUCUCAAGUAUUGGCUAAGUGCAUAAUAACAUCGAUUUCCUGCCGCUAUUUUUGCUUUUAUAUCAACUUCAACAUCGUUAUCUUCUGUGAUAAUAGAACCAAGAUAUUUGAAGCUUUCCACUCUUUCGAAUAUGUAAUUAUUGCACUCUAUGAAUCUGUCACCAAUCUGCCGGGCUCUGCUGCUUGCCAGAUACUCUGUUUUACUCUCAUUAAUUGAGAGUCCCAUUUCUGUUGAUCCGUCAUCGAGCUGUUUGAAGGCAUCUUUUAGAGUUUGGAUGUUUCUUGCAAUCAAGACUACGUCAUCCGCAUAGGCCAUGUACUGCAACAUUCUGUUCAUUAUCGUUCCUCUUGGAUUUAUUACUAUUCCUCUUAUUACUUUCUCCAGGCUCAAGUUGAACAGCAUAGCUGACAAAACAUCACCCUGUCUAAGUCCUACAUUUGCUGUGAAUUCGUCUGUGAGCAUUCCUUGAACUUUCACCUUAUACUUUGUUUGGCGCAGUGUCAUUGUUGUGAGCCGUAUGAGCAUUCCGUAAGGCAUUCCAAACUCCAACAUAGUCUCAAACAAGCUAUUUGUUCUGAUGCUGUCAAAGGCUCGCUUGUAAUCGACGUAUAGUUGAUACAUAACACUUUUCUUUCAUGUUUCUUCUGGUGAAAACAUGAUCUGUGCAUGAUCUGUCUUUCCGGUAUCCACACUGGUAAUCACCUAGCACUUCAUUACAAAAAGGUUUCAAUUUUUCACAAAUUAUCUUCGCCAAGAUUUAUAAACAAUGCUCAACAAAGCGAUUCCUCGAUAAUUGGAACAGUCUGUUCUACUUCCUUUUUUGUGGACGGGGCAUAUUAUUGCAGUUUGCCAUUCUUCAGACAUUACUUCCUCCACCCACACCUGUUUUACAAAGUGAAGUAGCCAUUCCAUUAGAGCAUCGUUCCCUACUUUAAUCAUCUCGGCUGUUAUAAGAUCAUCUCCAGGUGCUUUAUUAUUUUUGAGAGAAUGAAUAGCCAUUUUCAAAUCACACAUUGUGGGUUCCUCUAUCGGUUGAUCUGGCCCUAUAAUGUUGAUAUUUUCUCCCUCCUCAACAUUUUGAUUCAACAACUCAUAAAAAUAUUAUUUCCAUCGUUCUAAAAUCUGUCCUUCUCCUCCUAUCAAAUUUCCAUCCUUAUCUUGACAGAAUGUUGUUCUAGGCUGGAAUCCAGCUUUUCCUUCUCUGAUGCGUAGAUACAUCUUUCUCACUUCUCUUUCUCCAGCGAAGGUCAUGAUUUCAUCUAUCCUGCGUUUCUCAAACUCUCUCUUCUUUUUACGACAGAUCUUGCUAGCAUGUCUCCUUUUUUCAUGAUAAGCUACAGUUGCGGCCCUAGUUUUCCGACUUAUCAUUUUCAGUCUUGCUAGAUUUCUAUCUUCCAAAGCCUUCAAACACUCAUCAUCCAUCCAGUUAUUUCUCUUUUCUAUCUUUUCAUAUCCGAUUUUCUCCUGUGCAGCUUCUGUUACAGCCUUCUUGAAAUUCUCUCACUUUUGCUCAACUGUGUCCUCUCUUCCUUGGUUCUCUGCUAAUUUCUCCAUAAGUUUAUGAUUGUAUCUCUCCCUAGCUUCAUUUUCUCUUAUAAGCCUUUUGCUGUCAAAUUUCUUUUGUUUCACUCCUCGGAAUUUCUUCAUGUUGUUUAUUCUCUGUCUGUAUUUUAUUUUAACCAAAUAAUGAUCUGUAGCACAGUCUGCCCCUCGCUAACUUCGCACAUCUAAUAUGUCAGAUCCAUGCCUCUUGUCAAUCAAAUUCUUUCAUUGAUAGCAUCAAAACAUAUUACUCUAUCCUUAUAUUUUUUAUGUACAAGAAAACCAGUUCCAAAAGUAUUUUGUGUGUGGCCACUAUAAAAUAAUGUAUAAUUUUCUAUAUCUAUCAUUCCAUUUCCUUUCCAUCUAAUUUCCUACAAGGCAGCAAUCCCUACUCCAUACGUUUCCAUAACUCUCCUCAGCACAGCUGUGUUCCCUGCCCUGUACAAACUUCUUACAUUCCAGGUGGCAAGAGAAAGAUCUCUGUCUUUUUUGGGGCUUUUGCAUCUUUCCAUUAUUCUUUUUCGAUUGUUGGCUAUCCGUAUAUUGUUCCUGUAAAUCCGGUCCCAUUCCGAGGCAUCUUGAGGUUGCGUAACAAUACUGUUUUCCGGGGCAAGGUGGUUAGCCUUGCGCCCAACCCCCAACCUGGGGGACCAGGGUCCUUUUUUAGAGUUGCCAUCUCCUAGGUACUUGCUUCCACUACAGCUUUCAGAGCGUAACCUACCCUGGAUUUAAUUUGGGUUAACUCCCUAGGUUCAUCUGCCCUCUCUGCCGUUGGGAUUUCUCCUCAUCCGCCUCCAAGGCCGUUGACCGGCUUGCUAGUUUUGGUCCACCCCAGCUAUUUAAUUUCACCGGUACCUCCCAUAUCUGGGAGGCAUUCCCCUAUCCGCCACCUGGGGAGGCGCCCGAUGGAGGACUAGCAAACUCUCACGGGAUACAAAAGUAAAGCUUAUAUAAUUUCCUUCAAUAUUCAACUCACAACUUUUCUAGUUUUUGAGAUAUCCACUCUUAAAUGUGUGACAUUUUUGAAAAAAAGCACGUUCGCCUCCAAUUUUUUUCUAUUUCUAUUCUUAUAACUUUUUAAAAAUUGAUGGGAAAAAUCAAUGCAGAUUAUGAGCUCAUAGAGCCUCUUUCAGGAAUUAUAACUCUCCAACAAUGCAUCGUAAAAAUCAAUGCUUAUCAUAGGUUUGUAGAGCAUCAAAUUCUCUUUGAAAUGGUGUAUUACUUCACUAUUCAAAGUUUCUGUUUCAUUAUUAUAGCAACUUUAAUGUAGGGGAUGAAAUUUCCAAUGCUGCAACAAUUAUUCAUUUGGCAUUGAAAUUUGAAGAGGGUGUCUGUGACACAAUUUUUGACGUUGCAGCUUAAUUUUGACUAGUUAGUAGAUUAACAUAGCAAAAGUGCACAUCUUUAUCCCCUCUGUUGAAGGUUUGGAACCGCUGAGUUGACACUAGUUGCAAUAUUGAAAAUGUUGCUACAUUGCACUAUCAUUUUUGAUCAUUUGUUACAUCGCACAACUAUUAUAUGAAUACUUUCUAUUGUUGUAAACAACUUGAAUCAAUUGACAAUUCCUUUUUACUGCUUAUUCAAAUUCACUAUUUGUUAUUUUUGAUUUUCAUUAAACGUCCUUUCUCCUACUUAGUGCAGUCAUCAUAACUUUUAAGGCCAUUUGUAAAGUGCCACUUAUAUCAAUAAAUGCAAUCAUUUGUUAUUGU